CACGUAGGAGCCUAGCGUUAUCCGAAUUUACUGGGCGUAAAGCGCGUGUAGGCGGUUCGGUAAGUUGGGUGUGAAAUCUCCUGGCUCAACUGGGAGAGGUCGCUCAAUACUGUCGAGCUUGAGGAUGGUAGAGGGAGGUGGAAUUCCGGGUGUAGUGGUGAAAUGCGUAGAUAUCCGGAGGAAUACCAGUGGCGAAGGCGGCCUCCUGGACCAUUUCUGACGCUCAGACGCGAAAGCUAGGGGAGCGAACGGG
Molecule: ribosomal RNA, 253 nt
Filed under: uncultured bacterium
Lineage: Bacteria
Description: partial 16S ribosomal RNA
Rfam family: Bacterial small subunit ribosomal RNA
Source: RNAcentral